Molecule: long non-coding RNA, 9020 nt
Organism: Anolis carolinensis (green anole)
Lineage: Eukaryota; Metazoa; Chordata; Lepidosauria; Squamata; Anolidae
Exons: 3
Source: RefSeq, a predicted model, not a curated record
CCACCUUGGCCCCGCCCUCCAGGUGUUUUGGACUACAAUUCCCAGAAUUCCCAACAGCCGGAGUCCUGCAUCCCUAAGCUUCAUGAAGGUGAAGGAUCUUUGGGGCUAUGGGAAUGGGGCUUAUUGCAAGAACCACGUGGUGACUUUGAAUCCCCCAUGUCCAGUUCAUACCUAAGGCCAUGCAGUGGUACCAGAAACUGCAAGCCAUGCUGUUCUAUUUGUGUUCCUCACCCAGCUGGGCUCCUUCCCUCCCCUCGGCCUCUCUGCCCGCUCUUUGGGCGUCCUUGACCCAGAGAAGUCCGGUGUGAGGAUAUUUCCCUUUUGGCUCAUGCAAGGACCCUCCUCUCCGUGGCGCCACUGCAAAGCUGGCUGUGGGAAGGCGGGGGCUCCUGAUCUCUCACAGAGGGUUUUGCCAUUUCAUGCUUCCUAUAAGCCUCCUUCCCAUUCACAUGCACACACCAAGGACUUGAGCAAAGCAGGGACAGAAAGAUGGGAAACAAAUAAAAUAAUCUCCAAUUUGCCAAGUCCCAUGUCUUACAAUUUUUCAGUCUGUUCCAGGAAUGUGGGCCAUAUGGGAGGGGGGAAAUGAAAUCAUUGCCUCCCAAAUAAAAAUUCUACCUUCAAAAUGACAUUUUCCACCAGUCCCCCAAAUUUUACCUUUAUAGAAACUGCAAUACUGAACAUUAUUCACAUUUUGAACCACACCCUCCAAUUGUCCCAAUGUGGCAGGGAUUAUUUCUGGUCAGUCCUCUGUCAUCCCACCUUUUCACCUGCAUUUGAAAUGUCCCAGUUUCUCUCUUGCUAUCACUUUUCUCCUUCAUCCUCACUGUUGAGGCUCAGAUGCGAUAUCCCUUUUGAAGAAGGCAAACCUUGCAGAACCCCCUAAUGCUGGCUUUCCAAUAAAGGAACGAGGAGGCAGAGGAGAUAGAAAUACACAGAUUUAUUUGCAAAUAGAGCUGCGGGUGACCAUCAUGAAAAGGAGUGGCACGCCGACUGAGAUUUCACAUAUUCUUCCAGGUACAAUUCAUUUCACAAACAUCCUUGUUCUCAUGCUCCCUCUUUCUUUCAUCUUGUUUCAUCCUGACAUUUAUCAAAACAACAAACAACAAAUGUCAAUCUAUCAAAAUCAAACUGGAACAAAACACCGUCUCUGAUCCUCACAUCUAGGACUCUUUCUAAGGUUUUAUUGCCCUGCCUGCAUGUGUGAGUUCCUGGACAUCAUCACUAUAUUUUAGUUGCUGAAAACUAGGUUCAAAGUACAAAUGUAACUUCUCAGAAAGGGGGAAAAGCUAAGGAUAAGAAAGUCAGGGGCAUCAUCUUCCCUUCCUUAUAGACUCACUCAAUAGUAAAGUGUUGCAGCCUCUCUGAAGUCCAUCUAGACUGUAGAAUUAAUGCAGUUUGACACCACUUUAACUGUCAUGGCUCAAUGCUAUGGAAUCCUUAGAUACUAAGUUUGGUGAAGCAACCGAAUUCUUUGUCAGGGAAAGCUAGAGACCUUGUAAAAUCAGUAUCAUAAGAUCCUAUCGUUCUCUUCUGGAUGCAACAGUGCUUCACCAAACUGCAAAUCUCAGGUUUCUACAGGAUACAUCUACAACUCCCAGGAUUCCAUAGCAUUGAGCCAUAGCAGUUAAAGUGGUGCCAAACUAAAUUAAUUCAAAAGUGUAGAUGCACCAUAAUGUGUGUAUUCUUUCUCAUUAGGAAUGUUUGGCUUGUUGAGCACACAUCAAUGUUGCUUUGCCACAUAUGUCCUGGGUUUCAUCUGUGAUAUAUUGGGGGACGUGUGGGACUUGGGGAUUUUUUUGUGGGGGGACAGGGAAGGUAGCAACUGAAAUAAUGCACUAAUGUGGUCAGUGGAAGCUGGUAUCUUCCUUAUUAGUGAAAUGGGGAAUCUACUCAAGGUCUGAACUGUAAAGAAGUGAAGAGUGUGAAUCCUAUCCCAAAUAUAGGUUCAGCACCUUGGAUGGUUCCUCUAAAGUUCAUAAUAAAAGCUAGACUGGUUUACAUCAGUUUUUCUCCAAUUGUGUUGCACAACUUUUAAGGGGGUAUAAUAUUUGCUCAACAAGGGCACAAGAAGCAUUUCUGGUAUUAAGUUAUUACAGUCCUAACUUGAGUCAGGGGAAAUAGGGAGACACAUCCACAUAUAGACAUACGGGGUAAAAAGUUUGAAAAGAUGGUGACUAGUAUGAAAGUCAGCAUUUUUCACUGAGCACGGCUGAAUACACUGAAGUUAAAUGUUGAAUAGUUAAUUAGUCAACACUCAGCCUAGAUAUUCUGAUCAGUUUUAGCAGUUAGAUGAUAGAUAGGUAGGCAGGUAGAUAGGCAGACAGACUGACACAGCAGUCAGAAUUCUCAGAAUUCAGGUUCUUUCUGUCUCAGACUUAGAGAAUAUAUCAAAAGCAAAUUGGAAUGAAAUUCUUACCCAUCACUAAGGAGACCAAAUGGGAGCUCUUGAGAGUUAUCAUAUCCUAAUUCUUGCAGAGGAAGGGAACAGCAUUAGGUUUAAGGCCAAUUUUCAUUCUUAUACACAUCUGCAAAAUGGGCUGCCAUAUUGGGGGUGGUCUGGCAGUGACAUUAUAGCACUUCUGCCUUGUUUUGUUGUUGAUGGUGAUGAGAUAUUUCUUUGCUGGGAAUGCUACAAUUAACAGCCGACAUAUUUCAAGUACCUAGGAAACACCAGCCAACAUUGUUUUCUGGUGAUAUGUGAAUUCUACUGUUAACAUUCUAGUACAGCCCCCUUAUUCAUUGGAAUGAUACCCACAAAUCCAUCUACUUGUAUCUGACAAAAUGUUUUCUCUCUUGGAAUUUUCUAGGUCCUCCAAACAAUUUUAUCAUACCUUUCCAGUGGAAGUCAUUCAUUUCAGUUGGGCUCCUCCUGAUCCCUAUUGACUCUAUGAUAACCUCUGAUGGAAAUAAUUCAUAGAAUUGUGAUUCGACCUUAACAAAAAUAUAUUUAUUGUAAGAUGUGUUUUACAAUGAAAUGAUCUGGUGAUUGGUUCUCCAUCUUUUGAGGUCUUUAUACAAGUUUUGAUGGCUCUCUAUGUUUUAGCUGUGUUUACCAACAUAGCAGAGCGUCGAACUAGAUGGCCCUUGCAGCCCCUUCUGACUCUAAAUAAAUAUAUCACCAUGCAUUUUGGGGAAAAGAUGAAAGAUGAUCAUCUAUUAGGUAAUUUGUACUCAAUGCUUGAAAAGAGAAGCAAAACAUCCCACUGAUGUUUGGUUUACAGGUAGAGUCUAAGUUGCAAAGUCAAGGUUCAUACCCUACAAAUGGGAUUCUCUGCUUCUGCAACCUCUAUUGAAAUAUCAAGAUGGUUUCUUCUGAUUUAAAUGGCUCCUGCUCCCAAUUAAAGGCAGAGCCCAGGCUCCUGAAGGCGAACAUUUUACUCAAACACAAUGACAGCCUCUUUCCCCAAGUUGCACAAUUCCCAGAAAUGCACAGCCUCCUGCUAACACCUCCCUUGGGAAGCGCAUGCCAGCCAGCCGGCCGGUCGGCACCAAUGCAAGGAGAAUACUCCCUUCCACCUUCUGGCAAAGGAAGCCUGCAAAGCUCUCAAAAAAGAGGCUCCUGGGGGUUUAUUUCUCUUUCUCACAGUGGUUACAAAAUAGGGAGGACCAACACCAGCUUGGGCUGAAGGGAAGGUUGGGAUGGGGAGAAUGAGGGAAACUGCCAAAGUUGAAACUAUUUGGGGGUCUCUUCUCUAUUAGAAGGAUUUAAACAUACAACCCCUCAUUAUAUUUUUCCUCCUAGUGCAGGGAUGAGAAGUGUGUUGCCAGAUCUCCAGUUUCAGUCAUAAACCUCCAGUUUUCAUGGCUCAUCUCCAGGUUAGGGUUAGAGUUAGGUUCUCCAUUUUGUUGUGUGUACAUUUCCAACUCCUCUAGCAGAAUGUCAGCUUGAUAGUCUUUCGAAAGACUCAUUGAUUUGCUACUGCAACGUGCGAAGAAUUUCCAUGGGUUUUAUAUACAGUACAAUCCCCAUGCCCAUGGGACCUACGGCUUCAUCUGCCAUAUCUCUAGCAAUUUUCCCAGUCCUCCAGGUGAUCCUAUGGCAUGCUUCUGACAGAAGUAACCAUAGAGUCACCUAGGAGAACUCAGAAAAUGCCUAGAUGAUACUUCUUUAAGAAUAUUCAAGUCCUCCAAAGCAACUCUAUAGCAACACUUGGCAGAAGUUAUUCAUUUCAAUAGGGUUCGCUAUUAUCCAUGGUUUACUGUUUUCACACUGCAUUCUCCUGUGGAUAUGGGGGUCAUACUGUAUAUACUGACUGAGUCAUUGCAGUGACAGGACUCUGUAUCCAUCCUCUGGCUAGAAGCAAGUAAAGUAAAUAUUCCCUGGAGUGUUGUGUGGUUUCCAGGCUGUAUGGCUGUGUUCUAGUGGCAUUUUCUCUGACAUUUCUUCAGAGGAUCUUCAGAUGCUAGAUCAGGGCCAUACAGCCUGGAAACCAUGCAACAUCCCAGUGAUUCCGGUCAUGAAAGCCUUCAACAAUACAUUAAAUAUUCCAUGUCUCCCUAAGUAAAAAGAAAAAAAUUCAUUUUACUGGAUCGGGGGAAAGCCAUUUGCGGUACUUAAUAUUUCUGUCUUGAUCUACAAAUAGGAAAAUAGGUAACAUGUGUUUAGGUGUUUGUUUAAAUGACCAGCUGUGGUUGAUAAAUAAUACUUAAUAGCUUCACUAGGGGCUAUCCUCAAGUCUCAAGUUUUGGUCCAGAAAUUUCAGAGCCUUGGAUGAUUCUGGCCUGGCAACUCUAUUCCAAAUCUGUUUAAUAUGCAACCUCCAGUGUUCUUCACCUUUGAUUAUGUUCCCUGGGGCUGCUCGGAGUUGCAGUUCAACACAUCUGAAACACCAACUUGUAGUGGGUUCCUCAAUCUUCAGACGUUGCAUAAAAGAAGGAAUUUCUUCCGCUGUUGCUUGCUAUGCAUCAAGACAAUAGGCAAUACCUGCUCAAAUUUCCUCUUCUACUCAGCUGUUAACAGGCACAAAUAGGCCAUUUCAUUUCUAGCCCUGCCCUAAUGGUAAAUGAUACAAUCCCACUAUCUAGAGCCCCUUCUACACUGCCAUAUAAUCCAGAGUAUCAAAUCUGAUAACCCACAUUAUCUGCUUUGAAAUGGAUUAUAUGAAUUUGCACUACCAUAUAAUCCAGUUCAAAGCAGAUAAUCUGGAUUUUAUAUGGCAGUGUAGGUCCAGCCUAGCUCAUCUGAAUGACUAUAUCACCUCGACAUCCUGAAACAUUUUGCAAAAGGAUAAUUCCAUACGGUCCUAAUGAAUCCUCUAUCAUCCCACUUUUUGGCUGCUUUUGAAACAUCCCAUUUUCUUUCUUUCUCCUCCUCCUCCUCCCCCCCCCCUUUCCUUCUUUUUUCCAUAAUUUACUUCAAUGGCUACAAACAGAGUUCGAAGCAUAUACUGUUAUGAUUCAGGCCUUUUUGGAUAGUAGAUCUCAGAAUCCUGAAUCUGGAAAUUGUAUCCAAAAAUAUAUAUUUUUCUGAACCAUCCAGCCUUAUAUUUCUCGUAUGUUCAGGGGUACUCAUGAUAGAAAAAAAAAUCUGUUUUGAAGCAUGUAGAAUGUUAAUUGAUAUUAACAAGGAGAAGUCAUCUACUAUAGUUCCUACUAUGGUUUCUUUCUAUUCUUCUUAGAAGUCUCCAGGUCACAAACUCCAACUCUGUCCUUAAAUGUCUCCUCUGUGCAUGCUUCCAAACAAAAACUUUGCUAGGUCUUACUUUCGGGGGAGGCCUUAUAUUUAGCAAUUCAGCAAAACCUCUACUAGGUCUUAUUUUUUGGGGAUGUCUUAUUUUAGGGGAAACAGGGUAGAUGUCACCAUUUCGUACUGAGAUAAAGAGGGCAUGAAAUUAUACUCCUUGAAUGCAGAAAACUAGCACAUCAAGGACUUAGCUAAAUGCUGGAAAAAUGAGCUAUGCAGGAUGUUCUUGUUUACAAGCAAAUACAUUACAAGGGUCAACUUGGCACAUUUCUCCAAAAGCCAGGCAUUUCCAGGGGUGCCACAAUUGUCUGGAUUUGGUUUCUUUUGGAAAGAGAUCACUGUAGGCUUUCUUGUGUUUUGCAAUAUCUGUGUAUUUAUUUAUAUAGGCUAAGGGGAAAGGGAAGUUGGGCUGGCUCCAUCCUUCUUAAGCUUCCAGUGGGUAGCCAAGAUUGCACUAAAGCCACUUAAACAUGAGGAAUAACGGACUAUAAGAGCUGCUCAAGAGUAGGAUAGAUUGCCUCAAGAUGUUGUAGACUUAUCUUUGGAGAUCUUUAAAACACAGGUUGGUUGGGCAUCUUUUGGGGUGCUUUAUUUGUCUAUGCUGUCACGAACAGAGGGUUUGAGUAGAUGGCCCUUGUGGAUCCUUCCAGCUUUAAGAUUCUAUGGAUGCAUCUGCACUGUAGAAGUAAUACAGUUUGACACCACUUUAAAUGCCAUGGCUCAGUGCUAUGGAUUCAUAGGAGUAGCAGUUUCAGAAGGUCUUUUGCCUUCUCUACCAAAUAGUGUCUCACCAAACUACAACUUCUACAAUUCCACAGUGUUGAGACAUAGCAGUUAAAGUGGUGUCAAACUGCAUUAAUCUAACACCGUACAUUCAAUCUGUGCAGGAUUUGACUCUUCAAACAAGAGUGGCUUUUCUGUUUCUUUUAAAUGUUCAUCACCUUAAGAGCCUUUUUGGGCUAGUAAAUGAUAUAAAAUUUGGUAAGCGAUAUCGAAAUAUCUUCAAUAAAUAAGCAAAUAAAUACAUCUGUCUGUUCUGAAAAGUUAUUUUUUAAAAAAAAUAUUUUUCAUCUUUUUAAGUGUUUUUAUUUGCUCUUUCUGGUUUUAUCCAUCUCUGGAGGCUAAAGAUAAUAUACAAAUACCUAGAUCCAUAAAUGAUAAAGUGAACUUUAGAGUAAAAUCCAAACUGAAAUCGUCGGUGCACUGACAUAGAAGUCAGUUCUCAGUUUAAAGAUUCAUCCUGGACUCCUUAUUGUAUAGAAUCACAGAGUUAGAAGAGACCACAAGAGCCGAACCCCAUUCUGCUAUACAGGAACACACAAUCCAAGCCAUGAGACAAUGGCCAUCUAUUUGUCUGGAGACACUACCGGAUUCUCAGGCAGCAUAUUCCAUUGUCAAACACCCAGAUUUUCUUCCUAAUGUUUAGGUGGAAUCUCAUUUCCUGCAAUUUGAAUCCAUUGCUGUGUUCUAGUCACACAGCAGCAGAAAACAAGCUUGCUCCAUCCUUAAUGUGACAUCCUUUCAAAUAUUUAAACAUGGCUCUCAUGUCCCCUCUCAGACUUCUCCAAGAUAAACAUACCCAGCUCCAUAAUCCACUCCUCAUAGGGAUUCAUGGCUUUGAGACCUUUGGUCAUUUUAGUCACCCUUCUCUGAACACGUUCCAUCUUGUCCAUAUUCUUUUUGAAUUGUGGUGCCCAUAAGAGGACAUGGUAUUCCAUGUGAGAUGUGAACAAAAAGCAGAAUAGAGUGACACUAUUAUUUCCCUUGAUCUAGAGACUGUACUCUUAUUGAUACAGCCUAGAAUAACACUGACUUUUAAAGCUGCUGCAUCACAUUGCUGACUUAUACUCGGCUUGUGAUCUACCAAGAUUCCAAGAUCCUUUUUAUAUGAACUGCUGUCAAGCCAUGUGUUAUGCCUCCUAAAACUGUGCAUUUCAUUUUUAUUGUUUAAGUGCAGAACCCUACAUUUCUCCUUGUUGAAAUUCAUUUUGUUCGUUUUUGCCCAGCUCUUCAAUCUGUUAAGGGGAUUCUGGAUUCUGUAUCCUCUGGGGUAUUACUGUUGUACCUGUUGUGGUAAUAUCUGAGCGGUUAGACUCAAUUUAACCCUCUCUGGGGGAGAUUCCACCAAAAUCAGCAGAGUAGCAAAAAGCAAAGCUUUCAAAUGCAACAGUUACAUACACUGGCGAGCAAGAAAAGCCUUUAGGAUUGCAAUGGACUGCAGAGUCUCAAUAAAAGUUCAAAAGUAUUUAUUCAGGUAAAAAGAACUCCAUUGUAGAUAGAAAGGCUUGGGAGCUGUCUAGAUUACUAUAGACUGGUUUCUAAGGAAAAAUAAGAAAGGAAAAAUAACAAACAUCUACAUAGUUACAUCUUGCCAGGAGAGAUGGCAGGAUGCUUCUUGUUAGCUUGAAGAACAAAGGGAGAAGAGAGAACCAAAAUGGUUCCGACCUCAUGGUCCAGUUUAUUGGGGCCAUAAAAGACAUUCUGACCAAUGGGAAGUUAGUGUCCCUAAAGAUUCACAUUUCUACUAACUUCAAAGUAAGGGAUGUGACGUAAACAGGAUAGAGUAAAACACAGUAAAGCCUGUCUAGGCAUGCUUUGGAAACAGGAAAAGGAUCCCCUCAAUCUAACUCUAUCAUCUAUCUGACUACAUUUGGACUUGAGUAGUCCAGGAUGAUUUCCCAACAGUACCCUGGCAAGCGUCAGAGGAUUCUGAGGAUAUGGGGUUUCAAAAUGAAGGCUGACCCAGCUGAUGCUUUGCAUUCUUUAGAUCAUUACUAGGCAACUUGGGAAAGUGAAAGUAUCAUUUCCCUGGAUAAAAGGUCUUGGGAUGAUGAGGAAGUUGAGGAGGUUUCAAGGGAGUGUAGAUUAGAUCCCAGAAUGCAGGGUGUGAAAAAUAGGCAACCUAGUGCAUCCAAGAUAAAGCCCUGAAAUCCAGGUGCCUUAGACAUGAUUUCCUAGGAACCUGGAUGGGCUUAAAUUGAAGCCUUGGCUUCAAGCAUUUCAGAAGAGACAACAUUGCUAAAAGGGAAACAGUCUCCUGUUCAUGUUUCCAAGUUCCUGGUUCCUGAAUUGCCAAGAUUCUUGUUUCAUGUUCCUGUUUUGCCUAUGUGCCUUUGAGAGAGAUUCCUGUGUUCAUGUUCAUGGAAAUUACCUUGGAUUAUUUCUGUGUUUUUGCAUUUAUUGGUUCUGAGAUUUUUCCCUAGCAUCUUUGAAUUAUUGCUAUUGAACUCUGGCUUAUUUUGUAACUGCAUGUUAUAUUCUGACUGUCUCUUUUUUGGAAUUGACUGCUUUCCCCUUUUUAUAUUCUUUUCUCAAUAAACAUUUUAUUACUGGU